AUAAUUUUUUGUAAAAAAAAAAUCUGUUCUUAUCAGUUUAAUAUCUGAUCUACAUUAAAUGGAUUUUUCGAACAGGAAGUCGGAAAUGGGGCUUGCUCCGUCCGCUCCACGCAUCGACCCGGUAUUGCAGUACCUCCGGGAAUGGUGCAACACUU
RNAcentral lists this small nuclear RNA (155 nucleotides) under Oncorhynchus kisutch (coho salmon). RNAcentral's name for it is "U2 spliceosomal RNA (ENSOKIG00005045807.1)". It matches the Rfam family "U2 spliceosomal RNA". Rfam says of the family: U2 is a small nuclear RNA (snRNA) component of the spliceosome (involved in pre-mRNA splicing). Lineage: Eukaryota; Metazoa; Chordata; Actinopteri; Salmoniformes; Salmonidae. The record is from Rfam by way of RNAcentral.